UACGGAGGGGGCUAGCGUUGUUCGGAAUUACUGGGCGUAAAGCGCACGUAGGCGGCUUUGUAGGUUAGAGGUGAAAGCCCAGGGCUCAACCCUGGAAUUGCCUUUAAGACUGCAUCGCUUGAACAUCGGAGAGGUAAGUGGAAUUCCGAGUGUAGAGGUGAAAUUCGUAGAUAUUCGGAAGAACACCAGUGGCGAAGGCGACUUACUGGACGAUUGUUGACGCUGAGGUGCGAAAGCGUGGGGAGCAAACAGG
This 253-nucleotide ribosomal RNA is filed under the name uncultured bacterium. RNAcentral's name for it is "partial 16S ribosomal RNA". It matches the Rfam family "Bacterial small subunit ribosomal RNA", at positions 524 to 776 of the family's 1533-position model. The record is from RNAcentral.